This 208-nucleotide ribosomal RNA is filed under the name uncultured bacterium. RNAcentral describes it as "partial 16S ribosomal RNA". It matches the Rfam family "Bacterial small subunit ribosomal RNA", at positions 1294 to 1500 of the family's 1533-position model. The record is from RNAcentral.
CGGAUCGGAGUCUGNAACCCGACUCCGUGAAGCUGGAUUCGCUAGUAAUCGCGCAUCAGCCAUGGCGCGGUGAAUACGUUCCCGGGUCUUGUACACACCGCCCGUCACACCAUGGGAGUCGGAAAUGCCCGAAGUCAGUGACCUAACCGAAAGGGAGGAGCUGCCGAAGGUGGAGCCGGUAACUGGGGUGAAGUCGUAACAAGGUACC